RNAcentral lists this transfer RNA (69 nucleotides) under Onitis fulgidus. Its description in RNAcentral is "tRNA-Leu". Lineage: Eukaryota; Metazoa; Arthropoda; Insecta; Coleoptera; Scarabaeidae. The record is from RNAcentral.
AUUACCUUGGCAGAUUAGUGCUUUAAAUUUAGAAUUUAAAUAAACAUAAUUUUAUUUAUGUAGGUAAUA